GGAACGGGUACGCCAGGGCACUGGGUGUGGGGUACAUUCCACGUUUUCCGCGCCGUAGCUAACGCAUUAAGUGCCCCGCCUGGGGAGUACGGCCGCAAGGCUAAAACUCAAAGGAAUUGACGGGGGCCCGCACAAGCGGCGGAGCAUGCGGAUUAAUUCGAUGCAACGCGAAGAACCUUACCAAGGCUUGACAUGAACUGGAAAUACCUGGAAACAGGUGCCCCGCUUGCGGUCGGUUUACAGGUGGUGCAUGGUUGUCGUCAGCUCGUGUCGUGAGAUGUUGGGUUAAGUCCCGCAACGAGCGCAACCCUCGUUCUAUGUUGCCAGCACGUAAUGGUGGGGACUCAUAGGAGACUGCCGGGGUCAACUCGGAGGAAGGUGAGGACGACGUCAAAUCAUCAUGCCCCUUAUGUCUUGGGCUUCACGCAUGCUACAAUGGCCGGUACAAUGGGUUGCGAUACUGUGAGGUGGAGCUAAUCCCAAAAAGCCGGUCUCAGUUCGGAUUGGGGUCUGCAACUCGACCCCAUGAAGUCGGAGUCGCUAGUAAUCGCAGAUCAGCAACGCUGCGGUGAAUACGUUCCCGGGCCUUGUACACACCGCCCGUCAAGUCACGAAAGUUGGUAACACCCGAAGCCGGUGGCCUAACCCCCUUGUGGGGAGGGAGCUGUCGAAGGUGGGACUGGCGAUUGGGACUAAGUCGUAAAAAGGGUAACCA
This 715-nucleotide ribosomal RNA is filed under the name uncultured Arthrobacter sp. Its description in RNAcentral is "bacterial SSU rRNA". It matches the Rfam family "Bacterial small subunit ribosomal RNA", at positions 796 to 1502 of the family's 1533-position model. Lineage: Bacteria; Bacillati; Actinomycetota; Actinomycetes; Micrococcales; Micrococcaceae. The record is from RNAcentral.